Molecule: ribosomal RNA, 381 nt
Filed under: uncultured bacterium
Lineage: Bacteria
Description: bacterial SSU rRNA
Rfam family: Bacterial small subunit ribosomal RNA
Source: RNAcentral
AUUGAACGCUGGCGGCAUGCCUUACACAUGCAAGUCGAACGGCAGCGCGGGCUUCGGCCUGGCGGCGAGUGGCGAACGGGUGAGUAACAUAUCGGAACGUGCCCUGGAGUGGGGGAUAACUAGUCGAAAGAUUAGCUAAUACCGCAUACGAUCUACGGAGGAAAGUGGGGACCGCAAGGCCUCAUGCUCGUGGAGCGGCCGAUAUCUGAUUAGCUAGNGGUGGGGUAAAGCCUACCAAGGCCACGAUCAGUAGCUGGUCUGAGAGGACGACCAGCCACACUGGGACUGAGACACGGCCCAGACUCCUACGGGAGGCAGCAGUGGGGAAUUUUGGACAAUGGGCGCAAGCCUGAUCCAGCAAUGCCGCGUGAGUGAAGAAGG